GCGUGGAUGAUGAAGGCCUUCGGGUUGUAAAGUCCUUUCGCGCACGACGAUGAUGACGGUAGUGCGAGAAGAAGCCUCGGCUAACUCCGUGCCAGCAGCCGCGGUAAGACGGAGGAGGCUAGCGUUGUUCGGAAUUACUGGGCGUAAAGCGCACGCAGGCGGCGUGCCAAGUCGGAGGUGAAAUCCCGGGGCUCAACCCCGGAACGGCCUCCGAUACUGGCAUGCUGGAACGAGGGAGAGGAGAGCGGAAUUCCCAGUGUAGAGGUGAAAUUCGU
Molecule: ribosomal RNA, 275 nt
Filed under: uncultured bacterium
Lineage: Bacteria
Description: partial 16S ribosomal RNA
Rfam family: Bacterial small subunit ribosomal RNA
Source: RNAcentral